GAUAAACGCUGGCGGCGUGCCUAAUACAUGCAAGUCGUGCGGUAAGGCCCCUUCGGGGGUACACGAGCGGCGGACGGCAGAGUAACGCGUAGGAACGUACCCCAAAGUGAGGGAUAACUGCUCGAAAGAGUAGCUAAUACCGCAUAUGAUCUUCGGAUUAAAGCAGCAAUGCGCUUUGGGAACGGCCUGUGUCCGAUUAGCUAGUUGGUGAGGUAAAGGCUCACCAAGGCGAUGAUCGGUAACUGGUCUGAGAGGACGACCAGUCACACUGGGACUGAGACACGGCCCAGACUCCUACGGGAGGCAGCAGUGGGGAAUAUUGGACAAUGGGGGCAACCCUGAUCCAGCGAUGCCGCGUGGGUGAAGAAGGCCUUCGGGUUGUAAAGCCCUUUAGGCCGGGACAAAGUGCAGCAGUUUAAGAGAUGGUUGCAUUGAUGGUACCGGCAGAAUAAGCACCGGCAAACCCUGUGCCAGCCGCCGCAGUAA
RNAcentral lists this ribosomal RNA (486 nucleotides) under uncultured bacterium. RNAcentral describes it as "partial 16S ribosomal RNA". It matches the Rfam family "Bacterial small subunit ribosomal RNA", at positions 28 to 523 of the family's 1533-position model. The record is from RNAcentral.